AACGAACGCUGGCGGCAGGCCUAACACAUGCAAGUCGAGCGCGCCCUUCGGGGUGAGCGGCGGACGGGAGAGUAACGCGUGGGAACGUGCCCUUUUCUACGGAAUAGCCUCGGGAAACUGAGAGUAAUACCGUAUACGCCCUUUGGGGGAAAGAUUUAUCGGAAAAGGAUCGGCCCGCGUUGGAUUAGGUAGUUGGUGGGGUAAUGGCCUACCAAGCCGACGAUCCAUAGCUGGUUUGAGAGGAUGAUCAGCCACACUGGGACUGAGACACGGCCCAGACUCCUACGGGAGGCAGCAGUGGGGAAUCUUAGACAAUGGGGGCAACCCUGAUCUAGCCAUGCCGCGUGAGUGAUGAAGGCCUUAGGGUUGUAAAGCUCUUUCAGCUGGGAAGAUAAUGACGGUACCAGCAGAAGAAGCCCCGGCUAACUCCGUG
Molecule: ribosomal RNA, 433 nt
Filed under: uncultured bacterium
Lineage: Bacteria
Description: partial 16S ribosomal RNA
Rfam family: Bacterial small subunit ribosomal RNA
Source: RNAcentral